This 1333-nucleotide long non-coding RNA is filed under the name Macaca mulatta (Rhesus monkey). RNAcentral's name for it is "lncRNA (ENSMMUG00000052062.1)". Lineage: Eukaryota; Metazoa; Chordata; Mammalia; Primates; Cercopithecidae. The record is from RNAcentral.
ACAGUGACUUGGCUAUGUGAACAAAGGUAAUAAAGUUUAUAAUGUUAUUCUAAGUAGGGAUUAAAACAUUAAAUGGGGAAAGACUGAAGACUGAGGCUAUGUGACAUGUGACUAGAAAACUCCGGAAUGACACAUAGCACAUUGUUCAGUACCUUUGGGUAUGAAUACUUAACUGUAUAUUUGUCCACUUGAUUGUUCCUGCAUAUUACUUAUAUCUCAGCCUUUUUUUGUAUGUGUGAUAAUGCCAGAAAAGGCUUUGUCAAGUGCCUCGCUGAGACUUGUUUGCCAAAUUUUGAGAUAACUUCGUGUGAAGCAUGAUCAAUCUUCUGUGCUUUUUGCAGCUCAGAGUUUGUGGAUGAAAAGAAAAAAGGAGAGGAAAUGGCCUUGUUUCUUGUCUUUAGAGCUGAACAUAAGCAGAUCUGACUAUAAUGGUUGACUUCUCCACCGAACAAGGCCAGACAUCCCUAUUGUUCAAGGUACCAGGCUCUUGGAGCCUUACAUUCUUCAGUGUUAGAAGGUACUAGAAUAUUUAAUUCCUGUUUUUGAAUUUAUAAUUAAAUAAUAAAACUGUUUUACUGUGUGCAGAUAUUGAUGAUGUUAUUUAUGUAUUUGGUUUAUGUUUUUGUUUACUUAUUUAUUUAUUUAUUUUGAGGCAGAGUCUCACCCAGGCUGAGUGCGGAGGUACAAUCAUGGAUCACUGCAGCCUCAACCUUCUAGGUUAAAUAAAUCCUCCCACCUCAGCCUCCCAAGUAGCUGGGACUACAGGUGUGCACCACGACAUCUGGGUAAGUUUUAAUUUCUCGUAAAGACAGAGUCUUGCCAUGUUGCCCAGACUGGUCUCAAACUCCUGGACUCAAGUGAUCUCCCUGCCUUGGCCUUCCAGAAUGUUGGGAUUAUAGGUGUAAGCCAGAACACUCAGCCUAUGCCUUUGUUGAAACUCUGAAAGCAGAAUGGCAGGUAGUAGCUUUAAGUGAAUCAAAAGAAAUGAUUUUUUCUUUUUUUUAUUUUUGAAGAUCUCAAAGUUUGUAAUUUUUUUUCUUAUCCAAAUGCAAUAUUGUUAAAUAGAUGGCAUUUUUGAAUAUACCUUUUAGUAAGUUAUCUUUAAUAUUUCUGUUUCCUUAGCAAGUUGAGAGGUCUUCAAUGACAAAUAAUUUUCUUUUAACCUUGGUAGGACUUGUCAGUUCUGUUGGCAUAAACAUAGGGUUUUAAAUUGAAAACCAAGGUUGUUUAUUAGAUAUAGAUAGAGAUUUACUAUAAAAUUCCAUUAUCCAAGACUUCUAAAAGAUUGAUGUAUCUUUGGUUAUUAUUAAUACUCCCAUAUCUCCUCUUACAG